RNAcentral lists this ribosomal RNA (500 nucleotides) under uncultured bacterium. Its description in RNAcentral is "partial 16S ribosomal RNA". It matches the Rfam family "Bacterial small subunit ribosomal RNA", at positions 30 to 523 of the family's 1533-position model. The record is from RNAcentral.
AUUGAACGCUGGCGGAAUGCUUUACACAUGCAAGUCGAACGGCAGCACGGACUUCGGUCUGGUGGCGAGUGGCGAACGGGUGAGUAAUACAUCGGAACGUGCCCAGUCGUGGGGGAUAACGUAGCGAAAGCUACGCUAAUACCGCAUACGAUCUAAGGAUGAAAGCGGGGGAUCGUAAGACCUCGCGCGAUUGGAGCGGCCGAUGGCAGAUUAGGUAGUUGGUAGGGUAAAGGCCUACCAAGCCGACGAUCUGUAGCUGGUCUGAGAGGUUGAUCAGCCACACUGGGACUGAGACACGGCCCAGACUCCUACGGGAGGCAGCAGUGGGGAAUUUUGGACAAUGGGCGCAAGCCUGAUCCAGCCAUUCCGCGUGCAGGAUGAAGGCCUUCGGGUUGUAAACUGCUUUUGUACAGAACGAAAAGGCUCUGGUUAAUACCCGGGGCUCAUGACGGUACUGUAAGAAUAAGCACCGGCUAACUACGUGCCAGCCGCCGCGGUAA